This 160-nucleotide non-coding RNA is filed under the name Bradyrhizobium sp. RNAcentral describes it as "FMN sequence". It matches the Rfam family "FMN riboswitch aptamer (RFN element)". Rfam says of the family: The RFN element is a highly conserved domain that is found frequently in the 5'-untranslated regions of prokaryotic mRNAs that encode for flavin mononucleotide (FMN) biosynthesis and transport proteins. This element is a metabolite-dependent riboswitch that directly binds FMN in the absence of proteins. Lineage: Bacteria; Pseudomonadati; Pseudomonadota; Alphaproteobacteria; Hyphomicrobiales; Nitrobacteraceae. The record is from RNAcentral.
CGAUGUUCUCAGGGCGGGGUGAAAGUCCCCACCGGCGGUAAGGGCCGAAAAGGCCUAAGCCCGCGAGCGCUUUCCGUGAGGGGUAUCCCGCAGGGAAGGGUCAGCAGAUUCGGUGCAAUUCCGAAGCCGACGGUUAAAGUCCGGAUGAAAGAGAACGGUC